Molecule: long non-coding RNA, 2488 nt
Organism: Salvelinus fontinalis (brook trout)
Lineage: Eukaryota; Metazoa; Chordata; Actinopteri; Salmoniformes; Salmonidae
Exons: 3
Source: RefSeq, a predicted model, not a curated record
CGGCACAGUGUUGCUUUUCAGCCGUUCAAGAAGAAUUGGUUGAAAACGCCAAAGUAGGACGGAGGAAUAGAGGAUUUGUGUGUGUUGUUGCUGAGGUUGGAGCCACCAGUGUGUGUGUGUUGUUGCUGAGGUUGGAGUCACCAGUGUGUGUGUGUUGUUGCUGAGGUUGGAACCACCAGUGUGUGUGUGUGUUGUUGCUGAGGUUGGAGCCACCAGUGUGUGUGUGUUGUUGCUGAGGUUGGAGCCACCAGUGUGUGUGUGUUGUUGCUGAGGUUGGAGCCACCAGUGUGUGUGUGUUGUUGCUGAGGUUGGAACCACCAGUGUGUGUUGUUGCUGAGGUUGGAGACACCAGUGUGUGUGUGUUGUUGCUGAGGUUGGAGCCACCAGUGUGUGUGUGUUGUUGCUGAGGUUGGAGCCACCAGUGUGUGUGUGUUGUUGCUGAGGUUGGAGCCACCAGUGUGUGUUGUUGCUGAGGUUGGAGCCACCAGUGUGUGUGUGUUGUUGCUGAGGUUGGAGACACCAGUGUGUGUGUGUUGUUGCUGAGGUUGGAACCACCAGUGUGUGUGUGUGUUGUUGCUGAGGUUGGAGUCACCAGUGUGUGUUGUUGCUGAGGUUGGAACCACCAGUGUGUGUUGUUGCUGAGGUUGGAGACACCAGUGUGUGUGUGUGUUGUUGCUGAGGUUGGAACCACCAGUGUGUGUGUGUGUUGUUGCUGAGGUUGGAACCACCAGUGUGUGUUGUUGCUGAGGUUGGAGACACCAGUGUGUGUGUGUGUUGUUGCUGAGGUUGGAGCCACCAGUGUGUGUGUGUGGUGUUGCUGAGGUUGGAACCACCAGUGUGUGUUGUUGCUGAGGUUGGAGACACCAGUGUGUGUGUGUUGUUGCUGAGGUUGGAGCCACCAGUGUGUGUGUGUGUUGUUGCUGAGGUUGGAACCACCAGUGUGUGUGUGUUGUUGCUGAGGUUGGAGACACCAGUGUGUGUUGUUGCUGAGGUUGGAACCACCAGUGUGUGUGUGUUGUUGCUGAGGUUGGAGCCACCAGUGUGUGUGUUGUUGCUGAGGUUGGAACCACCAGUGUGUGUUGUUGCUGAGGUUGGAACCACCAGUGUGUGUGUGUUGUUGCUGAGGUUGGAGCCACCAGUGUGUGUGUGUUGUUGCUGAGGUUGGAGCCACCAGUGUGUGUGUGUUGUUGCUGAGGUUGGAGACACCAGUGUGUGUGUGUUGUUGCUGAGGUUGGAGCCACCAGUGUGUGUUGUUGCUGAGGUUGGAACCAGCAGUGUGUGUGUGUUGUUGCUGAGGUUGGAGCCACCAGUGUGUGUGUGUUGUUGCUGAGGUUGGAGCCACCAGUGUGUGUGUGUUGUUGCUGAGGUUGGAACCACCAGUGUGUGUGUGUUGUUGCUGAGGUUGGAGACACCAGUGUGUGUGUUGUUGCUGAGGUUGGAGCCACCAGUGUGUGUUGUUGCUGAGGUUGGAACCACCUGUGUGUGUGUGUUGUUGCUGAGGUUGGAACCACCAGUGUGUGUGUGUUGUUGCUGAGGUUGGAACCACCAGUGUGUGUGUGUUGUUGCUGAGGUUGGAACCACCAGUGUGUGUUGUUGCUGAGGUUGGAGACACCAGUGUGUGUGUGUUGUUGCUGAGGUUGGAACCACCAGUGUGUGUGUGUUGUUGCUGAGGUUGGAGCCACCAGUGUGUGUUGUUGCUCAGGUUGGAGCCACCAGUGUGUGUGUGUUGUUGCUGAGGUUGGAGUCACCAGUGUGUGUUGUUGCUGAGGUUGGAGACACCAGUGUGUGUGUGUGUUGUUGCUGAGGUUGGAACCAGCAGUGUGUGUGUGUUGUUGCUGAGGUUGGAGUCACCAGUGUGUGUGUGUGUGUGUUGUUGCUGAGGUUGGAGCCACCAGUGUGUGUGUGUUGUUACUGAGGUCGGAGCCACCAGUGUGUGUUGUUGCUGAGGUUGGAACCACCAGUGUGUGUGUGUUGUUGCUGAGGUUGGAGGCACCAGUGUGUGUGUGUUGUUGCUGAGGUUGGAGACACCAGUGUGUGUGUGUUGUUGCUGAGGUUGGAGCCACCAGUGUGUGUUGUUGCUGAGGUUGGAACCAGCAGUGUGUGUGUGUUGUUGCUGAGGUUGGAGCCACCAGUGUGUGUGUGUUGUUGCUGAGGUUGGAGCCACCAGUGUGUGUGUGUUGUUGCUGAGGUUGGAACCACCAGUGUGUGUGUGUUGUUGCUGAGGUUGGAGACACCAGUGUGUGUGUUGUUGCUGAGUUUGGAGCUGCCAGUGUGUGUUGUUGCUGAGGUUGGAACCACCAGUGUGUGUGUGUUGUUGCUGAGGUUGGAGCCACCAGUGUGUGUGUGUUGUUGCUGAGGUUGGAGCCACCAGUGUGUGUGUGUUGUUGCUGAGGUUGGAGACACCAGUGUGUGUGUGUGUUGUUGCUGAGGUUGGAACCACCAGUGUGUGUGUGUUGUUGCUGAGGUUGGAGCCACCAGUGUGUGUGUG